Molecule: ribosomal RNA, 497 nt
Filed under: uncultured bacterium
Lineage: Bacteria
Description: partial 16S ribosomal RNA
Rfam family: Bacterial small subunit ribosomal RNA
Source: RNAcentral
GAUGAACGCUGGCGGCGUGCCUAAUACAUGCAAGUCGAGCGAACGGACGAGAAGCUUGCUUCUCUGAUGUUAGCGGCGGACGGGUGAGUAACACGUGGAUAACCUACCUAUAAGACUGGGAUAACUUCGGGAAACCGGAGCUGAUACCGGAUAAUAUUUUGAACCGCAUGGUUCAAAAGUAAAAGACGGUCUUGCUGUCACUUAUAGAUGGAUCCGCGCUGCAUUAGCUAGUUGGUAAGGUAACGGCUUACCAAGGCAACGAUGCAUAGCCGACCUGAGAGGGUGAUCGGCCACACUGGAACUGAGACACGGUCCAGACUCCUACGGGAGGCAGCAGUAGGGAAUCUUCCGCAAUGGGCGAAAGCCUGACGGAGCAACGCCGCGUGAGUGAUGAAGGUCUUCGGAUCGUAAAACUCUGUUAUUAGGGAAGAACAUAUGUGUAAGUAACUGUGCACAUCUUGACGGUACCUAAUCAGAAAGCCACGGCUAACUACGUG